CCGUGACCAUCGGGCCCUCGGCGCCGGCCCGUUAGCUGCCCCGGCCCCGAGCCGGUCCGGCCCGCGGGACACCG
Molecule: microRNA precursor, 74 nt
Filed under: Myotis lucifugus (little brown bat)
Lineage: Eukaryota; Metazoa; Chordata; Mammalia; Chiroptera; Vespertilionidae
Description: miRNA (ENSMLUG00000022781.1)
Source: RNAcentral